Molecule: long non-coding RNA, 206 nt
Filed under: Carica papaya (papaya)
Lineage: Eukaryota; Viridiplantae; Streptophyta; Magnoliopsida; Brassicales; Caricaceae
Description: long non-coding RNA (CPAP_LNC011142)
Source: RNAcentral
AUAUCAAAUGGUGUUCUAAUAUUACCCUUUUGUAUGAAAUUAUGAACAAAUAUGAUCUACUUAUUAAAUUUUUAGUUUUAAUCAUUAUAAUCAACAAUUUUAAAAAUCAGAAUUAGCAAAAUAUAUAAGAUUUUGGUAUGAUUGAUUUCUAUUUUGAUAUAUAAGCUCCUUUUUCAAAAGUUGGAAGGUAGGAAAGUAGAAGAUAU